GCUAACCAAUAACUAUCAUAAUAGGGAUCAACUCAUUAUUCUCAUUUUUCACCAUAGUUGUCCCACCCUUUUUAGGCACUAUGUGCACUGGACUGACACAUUUACUAUUAGAUAUUAGGUAUAUAAUACCUACAUCCAAUAGUUUCAAAUUUUUUUUUUAUUACCUCUUUCAUGUUAGGGUUCAAUCUCCUUUGAUGUUCAAUGGUAGGUCUACUGUUUUCUUCCAUAGGUAUUAUGUGCAUACAAAUGGAAGGUUUAAUUCCCUUAAGGUCUUUUAUAGUGUGCCCUAUAGUCUUGCUAUGAGUCCUAAGUUUCCCUAAGAGAUUUUUCCUCUUCUACAAUGAUUCAGGUUAGCGCUUAAAAUAAUAGGAUAUUUAGAAUUAGGGUCCAAGAAUGCGUACCUUAAUAUAGAAGGAAGAGGUUUCAAUUCUACCUGUCUUGUUUCUUCUUGUGGCUUGUUUUUGGGUUGCUCUUCCUGUAGCUUUUCUACUAGUAGUGCUUGAGCCAAGGGUAAAGGUGGGUUAGCUUUAAAAGAUUGUGCAUAUGCUGCAAUUUCUUUGUUUUCAUCCUCCACUGUGUGGCUGUGCACUAUGCAAGCUUCAAAAGGGUCUUCGGGAUAUCUUUUUUGAAAUUCAUCUACUACUAGCUUGUCUAUGAUGUCAACCCUUAAACAUUCAUUAGAUUCAGAUUUGUGAUUCAUUGUUAUAAAUAGGUUAAACUCCACUUCUUCAUUCCCCACAUUGAGAGUUAACUGCCCAUGUUUGACAUCUAUAAUUGCUCCAGGCCUUCCCAAUAUUAUGGGAAUUCAGACAUCUUUCUUCAUCUCCAGGAUAACAAAAUCUACAGGAAUGAAAAAUUUACCCACUUUGAUAGGGAUGUUCUCUAAGAUGCCAAUUGGAUACUUGAUAUACUUGUCUGUUAAUUUUAAUGAGAUAGUAGGUGGUCUCAAUUCUCCAAUAUUCAGCUUUUGAUAUAUAGAUAAGGGCAUCAGGCUCGUACUAGCUCCAAGAUCUCAGAGGGCUUUGUCUAUGUUCAUGUUACCAAUUAGGCACGGUAUAGAGAAGCUUCCAGGAUCUUUCA
Molecule: unclassified non-coding RNA, 1080 nt
Filed under: Hevea brasiliensis (rubber tree)
Lineage: Eukaryota; Viridiplantae; Streptophyta; Magnoliopsida; Malpighiales; Euphorbiaceae
Source: RNAcentral